Ipomoea nil (Japanese morning glory) is the source of this 1140-nucleotide long non-coding RNA. RefSeq lists it as uncharacterized. Lineage: Eukaryota; Viridiplantae; Streptophyta; Magnoliopsida; Solanales; Convolvulaceae. The record is from RefSeq and is a predicted model, not a curated record. The transcript has 2 exons.
UGGUAUUUUAUGUGUUGAUUAAAUAUAUAUUACUUCGCGUCUCUUCAAUUGCAGUGUCCGACCGUUCCUCUCCCAAUUGCCGUUGUCCGUCCGUCCGGUCCUCUCUUGCUGCUUUCGAACGACUCACUCACUCCUCCAACACAAUCUCCGGCGACGAGCAUGGCAGGGUCUUCAUCACGCCAACCCAAUUGACCGAGGUGUGGAUCGUCUGCUCGCAUUCCAGGGAUCUAUGCAACAUCUUUGGCUGCCUUCUAUAACCAGCUACUGUAUGUAAUUUUAUUUUUGGAUCUUUUGUGUAAACAUCUCACAUUCAGUUUUCUUUUUAUUUUACUUGCUUGUGUGCUAUGUGUUUCAAUAUUUAAAAAUUUAUGUAUGUUAAUAUUUUCACUUCAUCUGAACAUAGAAGUUGAAUAGGAUUCUAUUUACUACAUAUAAUUUUCAACAAAUAUGUCAAAGUUUGGAUGAAAUUUGAGAUGAAAGUCAAUCUUAAUGAACCAAGUUCACAUGAUGAAGGUCAGACAACUUUAAAUUUUUAUGUUAAUUGGAAAAAAAGUUAGUUUAGGCAGAAUAACAAAAGCAUGCAUCUGCAAAAAAAAAUCUACAAAACUGCAACAGCCUCUACUCCAAUGCAAAGCCAUAAAACCCACUAUAGUGUAUCCCUUAAAGAACCAGUAGUGCUGCCUUCCAUGGAACAUCUCCACGAACUUUUGCUACCUCAUUCUUCACCAAGAUUGUGAAAUGAAGGUGAAAUAUUCAUUGUCAUUAUACAUUGCUGAUUAAAUACUUGAUUCAUAGAGAAAAGGACAACGUAGGGACAGAUGAGUCUGAGAUUUGAUUAUCUGACCUCAUCUUCAUUCUGUUAUAGAGUCAAUGGAGGGAAGUGAACUUUUCAUUCCUGCUCUUGUCUCAUUUUAUUUUAUUUUUUAAAACUCUAUUGUCAAUUGCAGUUUGCUAAACUGGUCCCUUGUUUUUUCAGCUUCUAACGCAAACCUACAUGGCAGUUGUAUGAAAAUUUCUUGUAGUAUUGCAGUUCUGUAACAGUGUUCCCAUAUAAUUUAUGUAACUUUGUUCUUUAAUCUAUCAGUUUUGUAAUAGAACAGCUAGGGUAUCAUAAUUAUAAUUUACAGAUUCAAACUUUAA